CAGCAUUGGUGGAUAGGGGAAGAGUAAUUGACAUCAUCUACCUGUCCUUGUGCAAAGAUUUUACACUGUCCCCCAUUAUAUCCUUGUCUCUAAUUUGGAGAGAGUGAAUUUAGUGUAUGG
Molecule: long non-coding RNA, 120 nt
Organism: Cygnus olor (mute swan)
Lineage: Eukaryota; Metazoa; Chordata; Aves; Anseriformes; Anatidae
Exons: 3
Source: RefSeq, a predicted model, not a curated record